This 72-nucleotide transfer RNA is filed under the name Fomitiporia mediterranea MF3/22. RNAcentral describes it as "tRNA-Trp (CCA) (tRNA-Trp-CCA-1-1)". It matches the Rfam family "tRNA". Rfam says of the family: Transfer RNA (tRNA) molecules are approximately 80 nucleotides in length. Their secondary structure includes four short double-helical elements and three loops (D, anti-codon, and T loops). Lineage: Eukaryota; Fungi; Basidiomycota; Agaricomycetes; Hymenochaetales; Hymenochaetaceae. The record is from RNAcentral.
GGACCCGUAGCUCAGCGGUAGAGCGUGUGAUUCCAGUCCACAAGGUCAUCCGUUCAAUCCGGGUCGGGUUCA